AAUGAACGCUGGCGGUAGGCCUAACACAUGCAAGUCGAACGGCAGCACCGUAAGAGCUUGCUCUUACGGGUGGCGAGUGGCGGACGGGUGAGGAAUACAUCGGACUCUACUUUUUCGUGGGGGUUAACGUAGGGGAACUUACGCUAAUACCGCAUACGACCUACGGGUGAAAGCAGGGGAUCUUCGCACCUUGCGCGGUUGAAUGAGCCGCUGUCGGAUUAGCUAGUUGGCGGGGUAAAGGCCCACCAAGGCGACGAUCCGUAGCUGGUCUGAGAGGAUGAUCAGCCACACUGGAACUGAGACACGGUCCAGACUCCUACGGGAGGCAGCAGUGUGGAAUAUUGGACAAUGGGCGCAAGCCUGAUCCAGCCAUACCGCGUGGGUGAAGAAGGCCUUCGGGUUGUAAAGCCCUUUUGUUGGGAAAGAAAAGCAGCAGGUUAAUACCCCGCUGUUCUGACGGUACCCAAAGAAUAAGCACCGGCUAACUACGUG
Molecule: ribosomal RNA, 492 nt
Filed under: uncultured bacterium
Lineage: Bacteria
Description: partial 16S ribosomal RNA
Rfam family: Bacterial small subunit ribosomal RNA
Source: RNAcentral